UCAGACAUGUGGCCAAUGGGAUGGGCCUGCUGAAGAGGCAGGUGCUGCCCUCCAGUGAACUUGAACCUGGGAGGGAGUAAGGCAGGAGCUGCUCUAGCAGCAAGCUUCCAGUGCCAGAGCCUGUAAUUCUAUCUCCGCUGUAGUCAGUCCAAGCUGGAUUUUCCAGAAAAACCAAUAGAAGGGGCAUCUGGGUGGCUCAGUCGGUUAAACGUCUGACUCUCGGUUUCGGCUCAGGUCUUGAUCUCACGGUUUCUUGAGUUUGAGCCCCGCAUCGGGCUCCGUGCUGACAGUGUGGAGCCUGCUUGGGAUUCUCUCUCUCUCUUUCUCUGCCCCUCUCCCACUCGUGCUGUCUCUUUCUCUCUCAAAAUAAAAUAAUUUAAAACAAUAGAAAAUGUGAGAGAGGGGUGUUAUGGGAUUAUGUACAAUUUACAUGUCACAAACGUGUGUGUGUGUGUGUGUGUGUGUGUGUGUAUGUGUGUGAAAACGAGAGAGAGCGAUGGCUUCUGGGAAAAAGUGGUACCUGAACUGAAUCUUGAAACACCGGUGGGAAUCCACCCAAGCUGUUCAAGGCAGAGUGGCAAUCUGCAAUUACAUCCCGCUUUCAGAGUAGGUGAAAUUCCAGAAGGCUUUAGAGACUCUGCCCUGGAUUACAGUGCUUCCCCAAACAUCUGUGGACAGGAAACGUUUCUAGAAGAUGUUACUAGAUAGACGUGCAGAGAGAAAACUGAACAACAUCGCUCUACUUUCUGCAUUGCUGGAUUUCUCUGGGGCUUUAAUAUGCUAAUGAGCAUCAAACAGCCAGAUCCUUCUUCUGCUGAGCACAAAUUACGCUCUCUGCGUUGAAUAGUUUUGGAAAAUGUAUAAAGUGCACUUUUCUAUGAGGUGUGGAGCGAUAAAUCAUUCAGCAACACAUCCUGCCAUCCUGGGUGUAAUUGGUGACCCGGUUGUAAAACCAAACUACAUUGUGCCGAAGACAAUAUGAAUGUGACCGAGUGGGUAAACGACAGCGUGUUAGAUUACUGGACACUUGUCAGUAGUUCGUGCACAAUGCAGUCUUUCUCUGUGUCGCAUCUGAACGCCUCUCACCCAGGCUUUAUUCUGUGUCACUGGACUGCAGUAGAGACGACCUGGCUUAGCAGCAUGUGCCAUGGACAGAGGAUACUUAUUGGCUCCAUUCGUGGAAACCUCCAAGAGCUGAGCCUAUUUUUUAUUCAUUAUGCUACGGGCUGUUGCAGAGACCCAGCAAGAGGUGGCACGGAGGGACAGGCAGUGGCAGUCUCGGGGACUUGAGAUUUCAUCCUCAAGGUAGUAGGAAGCCUUCGGAGACCCUUAACCAGUGGCAUGUGAUGAUCAGGAUGGACAACCGUGGCCUGCAGUUCCCGGACAGCCUAAUGUGGGAGCAAUGCGCCACAGAGCUCAGUUUGAAUCCCGGCUGUCAACGACUUAGAACUACGGCCCUGUGCCAUUCCCGCAGCCCGCCGUGUCCAGCUACAGACCACCCUCCUCACGCAUCAACACAAGGUCAAUGGUAGCCUCAGGCGGCAUCACAACGGUUAUGUCAUUCCCGUGCCUUCAUCUGGUCACGCGCGCGUUUUAUCAUCUCCCGUCACCACAAGAAGCGUACGUACGGUCACAUAGGUAUGUCCGUCUAGGAAACAACGCGGUGUAUGUAGGGGUCGGCACUAUCCGUGGUUUCAGGUGGCAUUGGGGGUCUUGCAGCGUGGGCCCCACUCAUAAGCGAGGGGCUACUGUAGCGACGUGAGGAAUCACAAGGAAGCACCAAGUGGAGUCACAGGACCUGGAUUUGAGUCUCAGCUCCAUUGCCGACUGGCUGUGUGAUCCCAGUAGGAACACAGUGUAGCUUUUCCACAAUGGGGUUGCCCUCGGAGAAGACCCCUCCCUAGAUGCUUGCCUGGCCCCAUGUGAACAGCUCUCAAACGGAAGACCGGCAACGUGACCAAUGUGUGCACUUUGGUGUCACGUGAACCUGCAUUGAAAUCUUGGCUUUGGUGUCACGGUUGACAUCGGACGAGUCGCUUAACCUCUAGAAAGAAUCUCAAUUAUCUGGGCUACUCUGAGCUACGUGAACAUUGCUGAGAACAGUCAAGAGCCCCAAGAAACAGUUUGCCCCCCUGCUCCAGCCCACAGUCAGGGGUGAAGAGGAAUUACAGAAACAUUAUUAUUUCAUCCAGUGUGACGUUAAAGGACAUGGAGGGCUCUAAACGGCCUUAAGAACACGCAGUGCUGGGGCGCCUGGGUGGCUCAGUAGAUUAGGCGUCUGACUUCCACUCAGCUGUUACAGUCUACAAUCUGAAGUUCUGCCAUUUUAAAAAAUCACACAGCAGCCACCUCAUCAUCACCAGACUUUCCUCUCCAGGCCAUUUUCUGGAGAAUGUGGCUCAUAUUCCCUGGUGAGAGAACAAAUCGGUUAUUCAUUACAUCUUAUCAAUGAGCUAGGGCUACACAGAAAGGAAGUCUAAUGAAAUCAGAAACUUGGAAAUACCAGCAACUGCUUUGUCCCGGGUUUUCAUCUGGGGUGUAACAAAGUCCCACAGGACAUUCCUCCAGGCUCGGAGAUGAAUGCUGAAGGCAUUGAAAGCAUUUGCUGAAUCUCUUCAAAUUAACUCCGAGGAGCUGACCUGGCUUCUCCUGAGAAUUAUUUGGUUUAAAUAUUAAUGGGGGAGAAUUUACAACGUUUAGUUUCACACGUCUAUAUAAAUGUUUUGUGGUAACAUAUGCAAUUAAUUAUUUUCUUUUUUCCACAUGUGCAAAAUUUUCUCUUUCACUCUCUCUAACCUCUUAAUCCAAGUCAAAAACUCAUUUAUCUUCUUGCUGUUGUAAUAUUUCAGUUUCUCUUUCUUGUUUUCACUCUGGUUGUCGUGUUUACCCGGCAUCUGUGUAUCACCUCAACACCAGGACCACAGAUCUCCCCCCGGGAUGCAUUCUUCAAAGGUGAGAGGUCAAUGAGGAUGUGUCAGCUAGUCAAGAUUGGGGAACCGGAGGGAUGCUCAGUGGAAACUACUUUAGAAUCUUCCAGAUGGAGGGCACGGGGGAGCCUACAGCUCUGGUUCGCUCGCUGAAUCUGGACUCAGGGGAUCCUUGCUGAAGUUUGGCAUUCAGGACUAAAGAGAUUUACCUGGAAUCUGCAUCCUGUUGGCCAGAAUUAUUGCUGCUUUCGUUCCUCAUUUGUAUGACUUUUUCACUUGGCAAAUUCAAAACAUAUAAAGCAGUGAAUCUGUCUGUAUUCUUCUUUCAGAUGACUGAUCCUGAAGGCUUAGGGUCCUGCACAGCUUCUGUUCUGUCCUAGACUGUGACUGUCUCACUCAAGGUCUCCUUUCUUCAGCUCACUACACUUGGGCAGAGCCCUGUCAUGCUUGGCCAGAUAAAUAAGAUCUGUAGGUAGAAGGGCUUUGGUCCCUAAAGCCCUCUGCUCCAGUUUCCAUAGAAACAAGGCAAGGGUGAUACCCACCACAAGGGCUCUUAAAGCCACACAUACUUUAUUCUGAGAAUCCCAUCGCGUUACAAAUACCACUCAGCAAUAGUUUUUAUUUUUUAUUAUUUUUUUUUUCAGCAAUAGUUUUUAAAGGCAUAAUCUACUUCAUUGCUCUGGAUGGCUUUGACUAACUAAGGCUUUCAAUUCCCUGUUGCAACCCUCCCUCCUUUAAAAUAAUUAUUUUUUGUUGUUGCUUUUAAACUUGAUGGAAAAAAAAUGACCAGUUCAUGCCAGUUGAGUUAUAGAUCCUGAACAGAUGGUUUAAGAUAAUUUAUUACAUGUUACAUAUUUACAUUUAAUUUAUUAGAUUUAUUCCUAAAGUUUGGGGAGAAAAUUUAGUACCAACUAAAAGAGUUAUAAUUAAAAGAGCACAGAGACAGGGUGCCUGGGUGGCUCGGUUGGUUAAGCAUCCGACUCUUGAUCUCAGUUCAGAUCUUGAUCUUAGGGUCUUGAUCUCAGGGUCGUGAGUUCAAGCCCUAUGUUAAAAGAGCACAGAGACAGCAGUCAGAGACCCCAAGCACUGAUCGAAACUUUAGCUCUCUCAGAGAUAACACUUUACUUUGUGACUUUGGGUGAUACCACAAACCUCUCUGGCCAUGAUUUCCAGUUGGUAAAAUCAAAGGACUGGAUCAGCUGAUCUCUAACUUUUUCUAGGUUCAAGAAUUCUUUGAAUUUGUGGUGUUAUAUAGUAGCAGAAGAGAUUCCACGAAAAAAAUAGAAUGUUGCUCUGUCGACAAUUAUGUCAGAGUAAUAAGCACUUUGUAGGAAGGUUGCUACUAACAUCAUACAGGAAGGAAAAGGGAAGGAGGGAAAAGAAAAAAUACCACUUACCAAACUUCUGCUGUGUGCUAAGAAAUUCAGAGACAUUAUCUCAUGUGAAAACACAUCAUUUCAGAGAUUCCCUCCUUAACGGACAGAGAUGCCAUUUCCGCUUCUGGCCCCAAAUGUGCAGGAUAGCUAACACUGAGUGAAUGCUUUCCGUGUGCCAGGCACUUUUCCAGGCACUUCGUGCAUACUUACACAAUUUAUUAUCCCCAUUCACAGAUGAGGAAAUCGAGGCACAGAGAGGUUAGGUAACUUGCCCAAGGUCAUGGUUGGUAAAUGGCAGAGCCAAGCUCCAAAGUCAGAGAGUUGGGCUCUAAAUCUGUGCUCGUAACCAUAUCCCCAUAUUGUCUCUUUUCAUUCAUUCAUUGAAGAAAUAUUUGAUGAACACUGACUAUUGGAAGGUAAUGCCCUAGACUUCGUCUUAUCUACUGGAUGCUACAUAUUAUAGACAAUGGAGUCUACAUUCUAUAUGUUAUGUAGGAUAUGAUGAAUAACAUGCCUAUAUUCUAUAUACUUUAUAAGAUGCAUUAAGCUGUAUACACUACUGUCUAUAUACAAUGGGUAAUAGACACGAUUUAUUAUAUGUAC
Prionailurus viverrinus (fishing cat) is the source of this 4906-nucleotide long non-coding RNA. RefSeq lists it as uncharacterized. The record is from RefSeq and is a predicted model, not a curated record. Lineage: Eukaryota; Metazoa; Chordata; Mammalia; Carnivora; Felidae. The transcript has 9 exons.